AUUCACAUGGAACGAGUGGCGGACGGGUGAGUAACACGUGGGUAACCUGCCCUUAAGUGGGGGAUAACAUUUGGAAACAGAUGCUAAUACCGCAUAGAUCCAAGAACCGCAUGGUUCUUGGCUGAAAGAUGGCGUAAGCUAUCGCUUUUGGAUGGACCCGCGGCGUAUUAGCUAGUUGGUGAGGUAAUGGCUCACCAAGGCGAUGAUACGUAGCCGAACUGAGAGGUUGAUCGGCCACAUUGGGACUGAGACACGGCCCAAACUCCUACGGGAGGCAGCAGUAGGGAAUCUUCCACAAUGGACGCAAGUCUGAUGGAGCAACGCCGCGUGAGUGAAGAAGGCUUUCGGGUCGUAAAACUCUGUUGUUGGAGAAGAAUGGUCGGCAGAGUAACUGUUGUCGGCGUGACGGUAUCCAACCAGAAAGCCACGGCUAACUACGUGCCAGCAGCCGCGGUAAUACGUAGGUGGCAAGCGUUAUCCGGAUUUAUUGGGCGUAAAGCGAGCGCAGGCGGUUUUUUAAGUCUGAUGUGAAAGCCCUCGGCUUAACCGAGGAAGCGCAUCGGAAACUGGGAAACUUGAGUGCAGAAGAGGACAGUGGAACUCCAUGUGUAGCGGUGAAAUGCGUAGAUAUAUGGAAGAACACCAGUGGCGAAGGCGGCUGUCUGGUCUGUAACUGACGCUGAGGCUCGAAAGCAUGGGUAGCGAACAGGAUUAGAUACCCUGGUAGUCCAUGCCGUAAACGAUGAAUGCUAGGUGUUGGAGGGUUUCCGCCCUUCAGUGCCGCAGCUAACGCAUUAAGCAUUCCGCCUGGGGAGUACGACCGCAAGGUUGAACUCAAAGGAAUUGACGGGGGCCCGCACAAGCGGUGGAGCAUGUGGUUUAAUUCGAAGCACGCGAAGAACCUUACCAGGUCUUGACAUCUUUUGAUCACUGAGAGAUCAGUUUCCCCUCGGGGGCAAAUGACAGGUGGUGCAGGUUGUCGUC
Molecule: ribosomal RNA, 984 nt
Filed under: Lactobacillus sp. L9(2006)
Lineage: Bacteria; Bacillati; Bacillota; Bacilli; Lactobacillales; Lactobacillaceae
Description: bacterial SSU rRNA
Rfam family: Bacterial small subunit ribosomal RNA
Source: RNAcentral